CACGUAGGAGGCGAGCGUUGUCCGGAAUCAUUGGGCGUAAAGAGCGCGCAGGCGGCUUGGCAAGUCGGGUGUGAAAUCCCGGGGCUCAACCCCGGGACUGCAUUCGAUACUGUCAGGCUAGAGGUAGGUAGGGGAGAUCGGAAUUCCUGGUGUAGCGGUGAAAUGCGCAGAUAUCAGGAGGAACACCGGUGGCGAAGGCGGAUCUCUGGGCAUCUCCUGACGCUGAGGCGCGAAAGCGUGGGGAGCGAACAGG
RNAcentral lists this ribosomal RNA (253 nucleotides) under uncultured bacterium. Its description in RNAcentral is "partial 16S ribosomal RNA". It matches the Rfam family "Bacterial small subunit ribosomal RNA", at positions 524 to 776 of the family's 1533-position model. The record is from RNAcentral.